RNAcentral lists this ribosomal RNA (497 nucleotides) under uncultured bacterium. RNAcentral's name for it is "partial 16S ribosomal RNA". It matches the Rfam family "Bacterial small subunit ribosomal RNA", at positions 28 to 507 of the family's 1533-position model. The record is from RNAcentral.
GAUGAACGCUGGCGGCGUGCCUAAUACAUGCAAGUCGAGCGAACAGACGAGGAGCUUGCUCCUCUGACGUUAGCGGCGGACGGGUGAGUAACACGUGGAUAACCUACCUAUAAGACUGGGAUAACUUCGGGAAACCGGAGCUAAUACCGGAUAAUAUAUUGAACCGCAUGGUUCAAUAGUGAAAGACGGUUUUGCUGUCACUUAUAGAUGGAUCCGCGCCGCAUUAGCUAGUUGGUAAGGUAACGGCUUACCAAGGCAACGAUGCGUAGCCGACCUGAGAGGGUGAUCGGCCACACUGGAACUGAGACACGGUCCAGACUCCUACGGGAGGCAGCAGUAGGGAAUCUUCCGCAAUGGGCGAAAGCCUGACGGAGCAACGCCGCGUGAGUGAUGAAGGUCUUCGGAUCGUAAAACUCUGUUAUUAGGGAAGAACAAAUGUGUAAGUAACUAUGCUCGUCUUGAUGGUACCUAAUCAGAAAGCCACGGCUAACUACGUG